RNAcentral lists this microRNA precursor (98 nucleotides) under Chlorocebus sabaeus (green monkey). Its description in RNAcentral is "miRNA (ENSCSAG00000021492.1)". Lineage: Eukaryota; Metazoa; Chordata; Mammalia; Primates; Cercopithecidae. The record is from RNAcentral.
AGGUGGGAGGAUGGCUUCAGCCUGGGAGGUGGAGGUUGCAGUGAGCCGAGAUUAUGCCACUGCACACCAGCCUGGGCAACAGAGCCAGACCUUGUCUC